This is a long non-coding RNA of Hibiscus syriacus, 668 nucleotides long. RefSeq lists it as uncharacterized. Lineage: Eukaryota; Viridiplantae; Streptophyta; Magnoliopsida; Malvales; Malvaceae. The transcript has 6 exons. The record is from RefSeq and is a predicted model, not a curated record.
CAUGACCGACGCUUGACCACCGCCUCAAUGGCCUCUACACCGUUUCUAUCCUCUCUAAUCCGGUGAAGAUCCAAACACAACAAAGGUUUCCCGAGCAACCUUCAAUGCUUCGGCCUCAAACCUGGUGGCUCAAAUCGCAGGAUCCAGCUGUGAGAGGGAAGGCAUCUGGCCAGUCUAAAAUUGGAGGCCUAUUUUCGAAGUCCACAUUCUAUUCACAGAGCACAUGCUGGAGAAAGUGAGAAUUUUGCGGGAAGCUUUUUCAGAGACAUCUUUGCAUGCUAGUUCAGGAAAACCAUCAGUUAUUUUCAUUGAUGAAAUAGAUGCUCUCUUCCCUCGUCAUGGUUCAAGGCUGGAAUGAAUGAUUUUUCCUUCUUUUGGUAAUUGUAUUUGGAUGUGGUUGAACAACAAGUUGAGAAUUCAUGGGAUUCAAGAUGUAACAAAUACGGGAGCAAGAUGUUCGUCUAACUUCUCAGCUCCUUACACUGAUGGACUCCAAUAAACCCUCACCAAGUUCUUUACUUCAAGUUGUUGUGGUUGCAUCAACUAAUAGAGUGGAUGCAAUCAACCCAGCUCUAAGAAGGUCAGGGCGUUUUGAUGAUGAACUUGAAGUUACCACACCUAAUGAAGAAGAAAGGUUUCAAAUUCUCAAGGUAAGACUGGUUAUCUUG